UACGAAGGGGGCUAGCGUUGCUCGGAAUCACUGGGCGUAAAGAGCGUGUAGGCGGUUCGGUAAGUCUGUCGUGAAAUCCUGAGGCUCAACCUUGGACGUGCGAUGGAUACUGCCGGGCUAGAGGAUGGUAGAGGCGAGUGGAAUUCCCGGUGUAGCGGUGAAAUGCGCAGAUAUCGGGAGGAACACCAGUAGCGAAGGCGGCUCGCUGGGCCAUUCCUGACGCUGAGACGCGAAAGCUAGGGGAGCGAACAGG
This 253-nucleotide ribosomal RNA is filed under the name uncultured bacterium. Its description in RNAcentral is "partial 16S ribosomal RNA". It matches the Rfam family "Bacterial small subunit ribosomal RNA", at positions 524 to 776 of the family's 1533-position model. The record is from RNAcentral.